UACGGAGGGUGCGAGCGUUGUCCGGAUUUAUUGGGUUUAAAGGGUGCGUAGGUGGCCAGUUAAGUCAGUGGUGAAAUACAGCCGCUCAACGGUUGAGGUGCCAUUGAUACUGAUUGGCUUGAAAUAAUUGGAGGCUGCCGGAAUGGAUGGUGUAGCGGUGAAAUGCAUAGAUAUCAUCCAGAACACCGAUUGCGAAGGCAGGUGGCUACGAUUUGUUUGACACUGAGGCACGAAAGCAUGGGGAGCAAACAGG
RNAcentral lists this ribosomal RNA (253 nucleotides) under uncultured bacterium. Its description in RNAcentral is "partial 16S ribosomal RNA". It matches the Rfam family "Bacterial small subunit ribosomal RNA", at positions 524 to 776 of the family's 1533-position model. The record is from RNAcentral.